Molecule: long non-coding RNA, 855 nt
Filed under: Solanum lycopersicum (tomato)
Lineage: Eukaryota; Viridiplantae; Streptophyta; Magnoliopsida; Solanales; Solanaceae
Description: partial TCONS_00010400
Source: RNAcentral
CUUCUUGUUUUCUUAAGGAAGAGGGUGAUGAAAAAUUGUUGAUUAAAGGGUUAAUUUUUCGAUAUUUUACAUUAGAAAGAGGAAAUGACGGUCAGUUUCGAGUGCGGUGACGAAGAGACAAGCAAUGGUGGCGAAUUCAUCUGGGUUGGAGAAAUAAUCAGGCCGAAAAAUUGAAUGCUGGAGCGUCCAAGAAACGACUGAAACUUUUUAACAUCUCGAAUUCAUACAACUGUAUCUGCUCGUAAUGCGAUUUCUCACUCCUCCAAAUUUAAAUACGGAGGUUCCAGAUGCAAUGGAGAUGAUAUUUCAAUCUGCCCUAGCUUUGGGUAGAAAGGGAGUUGUAAGUGUUCUUAUCUUGGUCUAUCCUGGUGUUUUUGUUGAAUCGAAUUCGAACAUAAACAAAGUGACUUUAUUAUAGAAUUUUAGGACAGAAGAAAUCACAUAGUGAUUAGUUUGUACACUUGAAUCAAGUUAAACUUUCUCAGCAUCUCACCCAAAGAAGUAGUGAACGAGAGCACAACUUUCUAGUCCUCUAGCUCUCAUGCUUCAAGUGCCUGAUAGUUGCAGCCACCCGAGUUUCUCUCAAAUCUUCCAGUCGUUCCCUCUUUUAUCUUCUAAAUGUAUUCCUAAACAAUAAUCUCUCAUUCACUGGUGUGUAAUUAUACUCCAGUAAAUGACAGUAGAUGCCUGAUUCAGCGACUUUUUGCCACAGAAAAAUCCAAAUGGAGGAUAUAUACUUGUCUAAUUCUUCUGUUUUUAAACUAAAUAAGGGCAUCAGUCUGACUUGUCUAGUGCACAUACUCGUUUUGAUUCACUCUAUUACUUCUGGUACUGUCAAAAUUUUCAGCAUUGCUC